AAAGGAGACCUGUAUGAAUGGCAUAACGAGGGCUUAGCUGUCUCCUCUUUCAAGUCAAUGAAAUUGUACUUCCCGUGCAGAAGCGGGAAUAACCUCAUAAGCAGAGAAGACCCUAUGAAGCUUUAGACACCAAGACAGAUCAUGUUAAACAUCCUUAAUAAAGGACUAAACAAAUGACCCUGGUCCUAACCUGUCUUUGGUUGGGGCGACCGCGGGGAAACAAAAAACCCCCACGUGGAAUGGGAGCACCCCCUCCUAAAACUAAGAGCUCCUGCUCUAGUUAACAGAAUUUCUGACCAAUAAGAUCCGGCAAUGCCGAUCAACGAACCGAGUUACUCUAGGGAUAACAGCGCAAUCCCCUUUUAGAGCCCAUAUCGACAAGGGGGUUUACGACCUCGAUGUUGGAUCAGGACAUCCUAAUGGUGCAGCC
This 430-nucleotide ribosomal RNA is filed under the name Perca fluviatilis (European perch). RNAcentral describes it as "partial 16S ribosomal RNA". It matches the Rfam family "Bacterial large subunit ribosomal RNA", at positions 1979 to 2560 of the family's 2925-position model. Lineage: Eukaryota; Metazoa; Chordata; Actinopteri; Perciformes; Percidae. The record is from RNAcentral.